Molecule: RNase P RNA, 404 nt
Filed under: Halosaccharopolyspora lacisalsi
Lineage: Bacteria; Bacillati; Actinomycetota; Actinomycetes; Pseudonocardiales; Pseudonocardiaceae
Description: Saccharopolyspora lacisalsi Bacterial RNase P class A
Rfam family: Bacterial RNase P class A
About the family: Ribonuclease P (RNase P) is a ubiquitous endoribonuclease, found in archaea, bacteria and eukarya as well as chloroplasts and mitochondria.
Source: Rfam by way of RNAcentral
CGAGCCGGCCGGGCGACCGCGGCAGCGCGGGCCUAGCCCGCGCGGUCGAGGAAAGUCCGGACUCCACAGGGCAGGGCGGUUGCCAACAGCAACCCGGGGAGACCCGCGGGAAAGUGCCACAGAAAACAGACCGCCCGGCGUGAGCCGGGUAAGGGUGAAACGGUGGUGCAAGAGACCACCAGCACCCCGGGUGACCGGGGUGGCUCGGUAAACCCCGCCCGGAGCAAGGUCAAGAGGGCACCGUGCUUUCGGUGCCUGCGCAGGUGUUCGAGGGUGGCCCGCCCGAGACCUGCGGGUGGACCGCUGGAGCCCGUCGGUGACGGCGGGCCAAGAUGGAUGGUCGCCGAGUGGGUGCGCCGCGAGGCCCCCACGAACAGGAUCCGGCUUACAGGCCGACUCGUCCG